RNAcentral lists this ribosomal RNA (605 nucleotides) under uncultured Bacteroidota bacterium. Its description in RNAcentral is "bacterial SSU rRNA". It matches the Rfam family "Bacterial small subunit ribosomal RNA", at positions 9 to 605 of the family's 1533-position model. Lineage: Bacteria; Pseudomonadati; Bacteroidota. The record is from RNAcentral.
GAGUUUGAUUCUGGCUCAGGAUGAACGCUAGCGGCAGGCCUAACACAUGCAAGUCGUACGGUAACAGGGAAAAGCUUGCUUUUCCGCUGACGAGUGGCGCACGGGUGCGCAACGCGUAUAGAACCUACCCUGUACAGGGGGAUAGCCCAUGGAAACGUGGAUUAAUACCCCGUGGAGACUUAAGGUGGCAUCACUUUUAGUUUAAAGUUUCGGCGGUACGGGAUGGCUAUGCGUCCCAUUAGUUAGUAGGUGAGGUAACGGCUCACCUAGGCAAUGAUGGGUAGGGGCCCUGAGAGGGGGAUCCCCCACACUGGUACUGAGACACGGACCAGACUCCUACGGGAGGCAGCAGUGAGGAAUAUUGGACAAUGGGCGGAAGCCUGAUCCAGCCAUGCCGCGUGCAGGAAGACAGCCCUACGGGUUGUAAACUGCUUUUAUACGGGAAGAAUAAGGGGUACGUGUACCCCGAUGACGGUACCGUAAGAAUAAGGACCGGCUAACUCCGUGCCAGCAGCCGCGGUAAUACGGAGGGUCCAAGCGUUAUCCGGAAUCAUUGGGUUUAAAGGGUCCGCAGGCGGGCAAUUAAGUCAGGGGUGAAAUGGUGC